UACGUAGGGUGCAAGCGUUAAUCGGAAUUACUGGGCGUAAAGCGUGCGCAGGCGGUGAUGUAAGACAGUUGUGAAAUCCCCGGGCUCAACCUGGGAACUGCAUCUGUGACUGCAUCGCUAGAGUACGGCAGAGGGGGAUGGAAUUCCGCGUGUAGCAGUGAAAUGCGUAGAUAUGCGGAGGAACACCGAUGGCGAAGGCAAUCCCCUGGGCCUGUACUGACGCUCAUGCACGAAAGCGUGGGGAGCAAACAGG
Molecule: ribosomal RNA, 253 nt
Filed under: uncultured bacterium
Lineage: Bacteria
Description: partial 16S ribosomal RNA
Rfam family: Bacterial small subunit ribosomal RNA
Source: RNAcentral